This 448-nucleotide ribosomal RNA is filed under the name uncultured bacterium. RNAcentral describes it as "bacterial SSU rRNA". It matches the Rfam family "Bacterial small subunit ribosomal RNA", at positions 328 to 793 of the family's 1533-position model. The record is from RNAcentral.
UUGCCAGACUCCUACGGGAGGCAGCAGUGGGGGAUAUUGCACAAUGGGGGGAACCCUGAUGCAGCGACGCCGCGUGGGUGAAGAAGCGCCUCGGCGCGUAAAGCCCUGUCAGCAGGGAAGAAAAUGACGGUACCUGAAGAAGAAGCCCCGGCUAACUACGUGCCAGCAGCCGCGGUAAUACGUAGGGGGCAAGCGUUAUCCGGAUUUACUGGGUGUAAAGGGGGCGCAGACGGCGAUGCAAGCCAGGAGUGAAAGCCCGGGGCUCAACCCCGGGACUGCUUUGGAAACUGCCUGACUGGAGUGCUGGAGAGGCAAGCGGAAUUCCUAGUGUAGCGGUGAAAUGCGUAGAUAUUAGGAAGAACACCAGUGGCGAAGGCGGCUUGCUGGACAGUAACUGACGUUGAGGCUCGAAAGCGUGGGGAGCAAACAGGAUUAGAUACCCGCGUAC